GUAGGGAAUAUUGGACAAUGGGGGGAACCCUGAUCCAGCCAUGCCGCGUGGAGGAAGACUGCCCUCUGGGUUGUAAACUCCUUUUAUAUGGGAAGAACCGUCCUCAUUAAUGAGUGACCUGACGGUACCAUAGGAAUAAGCACCGGCUAACUCCGUGCCAGCAGCCGCGGUAAUACGGAGGGUGCAAGCGUUAGCCGGAUUCACUGGGUUUAAAGGGUGCGUAGGCGGAUAAAUAAGUCAGUGGUGAAAUCAACGGGCUCAACCUGUUAACUGCCAUUGAUACUGUGUAUCUUGAAUAUGAGAGAGGUAGGCGGAAUGUUGCAUGUAGCGGUGAAAUGCUUAGAUAUGCUACGGAACACCGAUUGCGAAGGCAGCUUACUAUUUCGUAAUUGACGCUGAGGCACGAAAGCGUGGGUAGCGAACAGGAUUAGAAACCCCAGUAGUCC
RNAcentral lists this ribosomal RNA (446 nucleotides) under uncultured bacterium. Its description in RNAcentral is "partial 16S ribosomal RNA". It matches the Rfam family "Bacterial small subunit ribosomal RNA", at positions 354 to 796 of the family's 1533-position model. The record is from RNAcentral.